AAACCUACGGGGCGCAGCAGUGGGGAAUAUUGCACAAUGGGGGAAACCCUGAUGCAGCAACGCCGCGUGAGUGAAGAAGUAUUUCGGUAUGUAAAGCUCUAUCAGCAGGGAAGAAAAUGACGGUACCUGAGUAAGAAGCCCCGGCUAACUACGUGCCAGCAGCCGCGGUAAUACGUAGGGGGCAAGCGUUAUCCGGAUUUACUGGGUGUAAAGGGAGCGUAGACGGCGAUGCAAGUCUGAAGUGAAAGCCCGGGGCUCAACCCCGGGACUGCUUUGGAAACUGCCAUGCUAG
Molecule: ribosomal RNA, 292 nt
Filed under: uncultured bacterium
Lineage: Bacteria
Description: partial 16S ribosomal RNA
Rfam family: Bacterial small subunit ribosomal RNA
Source: RNAcentral